This 563-nucleotide long non-coding RNA is filed under the name Rattus norvegicus (Norway rat). Its description in RNAcentral is "long non-coding RNA NONRATT022205". The record is from RNAcentral. Lineage: Eukaryota; Metazoa; Chordata; Mammalia; Rodentia; Muridae.
CCUGCAGCGUCAGCAUCAGCCAUGUGGGUCCUAUAGCAGACAGCAGCCCGGCCGGCAGCAGUAGCCAGAGUCAGGAGAAGGCCCUGCUGCCCACAGAGCAGGAGUCCAGAUUUGUGGAUUGGCCCACCUUCCUGAGAGAGAAUGUCAUCUACAUCUUGGCUGCUCGUCCUAACAGUGGAGCGAUUCACCUGAAGCCCCCAGGAUAGGUGGGACAGAGAAGCUCAGUUCUGGGACGGUGGCAUCCUCUCUCUCCUUUCCUUUCUUUUUCCUUUACCAACCUCUGGCACUGAGACUCAUGGGAAUGGGACACUGCCAACAUCUUAAUUUGUUAUUAAGCUUUAUGGCACGGAAGCCACCGUUCCCCUCACAACAGAGGCAGUAUGUGUGUUGCCACACUGAGAAGCCCUGAGAGCCGUGGCAUUACCUGCUACUGGACCACCUCCUGCCCUCACGUCAUAAAACUACCUGCCACCUCAUGCAUACAUAUGUGCACAUGCACAUACAGCCACAUACAUGCCUAGAUAGCCAUGCCUUCAAACUCCUGGUUCUUUCUUUGAUGAAAA